Molecule: long non-coding RNA, 25627 nt
Filed under: Lactuca sativa (garden lettuce)
Lineage: Eukaryota; Viridiplantae; Streptophyta; Magnoliopsida; Asterales; Asteraceae
Description: long non-coding RNA (LSAT_LNC004037)
Source: RNAcentral
GUAGCUGACCUUGUAUACCCGAUCCUCAAAACUACGUAGUUUUGUGUACCCCUUUCCUUUUCUUUAAUUACAUCGAUUUCUUCUUAUUUUCUGUAACAUUUCUCACCCCUUGUCCGACCGACGUUCCCAUCCGCCACCACCACCCACCCGUUUUUCCUCUUCCCUUCUUACUCUUCACCGGAAGUCCGCAUCUUCACCAAAUCGAUUUCAUAGAAAUUAGAAUUCAAUUCAUAGAGUUCCCAUAAAUCUCAUUAUUUCUAUUUCAUUGAUUCAUUCUUUCUUUAUCGCCAUCUCAUUCUUUCUCUGUCGCCGACUCAUUCUUUCCUCCUCACUUGUCACUCUUCACCGGAAAUCACCAUCACAAAAUUGGAACUGGGUCCUAGGGUCCAUGGGUUAUCGAUGCUUAUUGAUUUGAAAAAGAUUGUGAUUUAAGGUAAUACAUUUUGUUCCUUUUUGUUCUUUGAAGUAUGGAGUUUGUUCGUUUUGUGAGAGUUUUAGGGGCAAUUUUCUCAUGUAAUUCUAACUGCAACAUCAAUUUACAUUACGAAUUUUCAACAUCCAUCACAUCACAAGGAGUUGGAAAUGGUUGUUGAUGUUUCGAUAUAGAGGAAUUGUGAAAGUUUAACUUCCACCCACCAGCUGUUCGACAUAAUGCCACCAGCUAUUCAUUUUUUUUUGAUUUGUUAACUAGGUAAUCUUGUAUAUUUGUAUAUAUAUUUGUAUCAUUUGUUGUUGUUGUACAAAAGACCACUUAUGUGAUUUUAUCCUUUUGUUUCUCAAGAAACCGGCUAAUGGUUCUUGAUAUAUAUAAGAAUUAGAAUAUUUAUAAUGCUUAUAAAAGAAACAUGGAAUUUAAAGGUUUUUCUUACUUGUUGCUACAUGUGCAGCAGGUUCUCAUGGAUAAUAUUUUGCUCCUGUGUACAUACAGCCAAUAACAAUGUUGUAUAUGUAAAUUAGAAGGGCAAUAAUGUCAUGCGUCGCUAAAAAAAAAAUUUCCAUUCGUCUUGGGAAUCAGUGUUUCCUUUGCUCAUUUUUCAUCCAUCCAAAAAACAGGAUACACAACUUUGCCUCAAAACAAAGUGUCGAACCAACAUUGCAAUUGUCUUUUGGCGACCCAACAUGAGCAAAAUCGUCUAACAAGGGAAAAAGCCAUCACACUUAUGUGUUAAAGAUGUACCAGUGAUCAUGGAAGUUAAUGUGAUGUAUGCAAGAUGUACCAGUGAGAUUGAAGUGUGUCUUGACUAGUUCUUUGUAGCUAAGGGUUUCUGCUCAUGUGUUUAGUAAAUAAAUUAUUGGUAGUUUGAUUGUGAUUUGAAUAGCUUCCAUGUUCUUGUUUUGGUAUUUGUUUUUCUUUCUCUUGCGUUGACCUUUUAACUUGGUCAACAGUUAUGUAACUUAAAAAGGCAAUGCAAUUUCGUAUUUUGACUAGGUAUGUUUUAAUACUAUAAGAUUGUAGAAUUGAUUCUUGACAGCUACCUAAGUUGACUAGUUUGAGUUAAAAGAAGAUACCCUAUAAUUGGAAAAGUGGAAAAAUAAUGAAAUUUUGAGGCUAUUUUGUGGAAAAAGGAAAAUAUGAGGCUAUUUAUUAUGCUAUUAUGUGAAAAAAAAAGUAUGUUGCUGUUAUUGAUUAAAAAAGAAAGUUAAUGAUGUUAUGUGUUUAAAAUGAAAGUAAGAUGUUAUCAUUGGGAAAAAGUCCCAUCAUUUUUCACAAUGUAAUUUAACAAACACAUCAUACAACCAACUAGGAAAUUUGGAAAGUUAGUUUUACACACAAAAUUCAUUAAAACAAUAAAACCUCUAUCAAUAUACAAUGGUGUUUUGUACAUUUGUGCUUUGUUUUUCACCACUUGCAUUAGAGAUUUGGGUAACAUGCUGGUCCCUAAUCAAAACUUCUAGUGGGACUGAUAGUGGGAAUCCAUGGAAAGGUCAAUAUGAUUAUAUACAAUGAAGAUACUAUAUCCCAUGCUUCAUCAUAAGGUUUUCCAUUAUCAAUGGCUUCAAGUUUUGCUAAUUCAGAUUUCUUCUCAGCUAUCUGCACAUGAAAAGCUUAUGAACUUUGAUAAAUCUCCAAAACAAAGAAAAUAAACCACUAAAAACUAAUUUAUUAACUAGAAAACCCGUAAAAUUUCAAUAAAACUAAACACGCACCUUUGUAGCAAUGACAUGCAAAUACUUGGCACAAUGUGCUCCAGAAAGUUGUUGCCCAGUCUUUUCCUCCAUUGCGUUUAAGAGCUCUAUGAGUUGCUUUCACAACAAUUUCAACAUCUUUAGAUGUAGCUGGUGGGAUAUCCCCUGCAACGAUAACGGUCCGUCAAAAAGUUCAUGUGCGUUCACUUUAAAUCCAACAUCACUGCCAUAGAAGAAAAGGGUAUAAAUUAGCUUUCGAAUAUAGAUGAAAACAUACAAUUUUUAUUCAUAUAAAAAAUGAAAAAAUAAUGUUAUGAUAGGAGAUGACAUUUUGUCGAACACCUAGUGGGCUUCUUUUAAUAUAGUUGCAAAUGAAAAACCAUGUGAGAUUCACAAAUCACAACUUAACAUCAAAAAUCGAUUUCACACUCACACUAAAUCAUAAAUCAAUUUUGAGUCAAAGUGAAUAAGUCUCGAUUAUUCAAAGAUCAAACUUACAGAAAUGAAAUAACUUCGGGUUCUAGUUUUAUGAAUUCGAGCUUUAGAUUAAAUCAAAAAAAUUAAAAGAUUGGGAGAAGAAAUCGACUAACCGUUAGGGGUCUUGAGAAAAGGAAGUCGUUUGAUUUCUUGCUGACAAAUGGAAGUCGUUCCCUCCCUAGGUCCUUAGGGUGUAAGCCAUGUGUGCUAGUUUUGGGGCAAAUCGAACUGCCGGGAAGAAUCGAAGGACUUACAACAAUCGAAUGAGUCACAACAAACACCCAUCUUCGUAAUAGGAGUGGACGAGAGCUAUAUGAGGAAGAAAGUAAGGUGCUGUUUGAUUUUCUGAAGCAAAAAUUCAUGAAGUCUGCGGACCACCUCUGCAACCCUCUGCAGUAGAAGAGGUGAACCAAACGGCUGCAGACUAUAAUUAAAAGCGUGUUUGUUUUUUUAACAGCUGCAUACUGCUGCAGAUAUUAAAAAAUUAAAAUAAACUAAUUUUAUAAACCGAAAAUAGCUUUUUAAUACGUAAAAUUUAAUAAUGUAUAACAUUUCGGUAAAAAUUAAUGAUAUUUCAGUAAAAAAGAAUGAUAUUUCAACAAAAAAUAAAGAUAUUUUCAGUAAAAAAUAAUGAUAUUUCAUCAAGAAAUUAUUAUUAUUGAAUAUAAAAAAAUGAAAAAUAAAUUCAAUAAGAAUAAAUGAAAAAAAAGGGAAAAAAAAUAUGAAAUAAAAUUUUAAUAACAUAUAAUCAAAAUUUCAGCAAUAAAAUAAGAAGAAGAAGAGGUUGGAAGAGGUUGGAAGAGGCAGUACAAGUGCUGCGCCAAACAGAGCACGCGCAGAGGUUUUUGACUCAGAAGGCUUCUAAAAAACAAACAGCUGCGAGAUUAAAAGUGCUGCGCGUGUGCUGCGCCGCGCAGCAGUAAGAGGUUUGAAGAGGUUUUUUCCAAAAAACAAACAGCACCUAAAUCUCCGUUAACUUCAAACGACGUCGGAUAGUUACUUUGGGUAUNAUAUAUAAAAUGAGAAUUUAAGGGUGGAUCUGGGCUUUCUCUGGCUCUCAUGUGGAUCCAUCCUUGAUAUGUAGUGCUGGUAACAACAGUUUUGAGCAGACUACACCACCUCCUGACUAUGUGUGCCACAUAUACAAAACCCCAUGUAGAUUAAUAAAGUCUUGAUGAUUGUUCUUUUCUUACGACAUUGAUUAAUCAUUGUUGAUAAUUGCUCUUUUAUUAUUGUAUUAAGUGAUACAGGGGAUAAGUUUUUCAGGGGCCCAAAUGCUAAUUAUCUAAUCGAUCACUCCACGUACAUUCACAAAAGGCAGAAGAAGGUACACACAAAGAAAACGGUUGAUUAAUCAAUAAUCAUUGAAUAUUUGUUUAGGAAGGCAGCAAAUUAGCGAGUCAGUGGCGUUAGACUUACACAACUAGUCUCUUGGUCAAUGUUAGAGUUUUCUACUUUUAUUUUUGUUCCAUUGUUCCUUUUAUUUUUGUUCCAUUGUAUCUUAUAAGAAACAGAUAAACUGAAUGUUGAAUACUUAUCAGAUCAAAUUAUGUUAUAUUAUCAGUUAUGAUUGAAUCAGAAAUCAAAAAUUCUGAAUGUUGAAUUAGAUUAUAGAUUAUUAUAAAUCAGAAUGUUGAUUUGUUGCAUCAAAUUGUAGUUUUCUAGUUUUCUAAAUGUUGGAAUUCCGAAUGUUGAAUGAAAUCAUAUUAUCAGAAACUAAAUGUUGAAAAUCUGAAUAUUGAAUGAAAUCAGAUUAUCAGAAACUGAAUGUUGAAAUCAAAACAUGUUAAUAGUUUAUCAGAAACUAAAAUCAGAUUAUGCAAUUAUGUUUAUUAUUUAAUUGUUUAUCAGAAAUCAUAUAAUCUGAUUUAUGAUUAUCAGUUGAUGUAACUUAUUGUUUAAUUGUUUAUCAAAAAUCAUAUAAUCUGAUUUAUGUUUAUCGGUUUAUAUAAUUUAAUUCGUUACACGUUAGAGUCUAAAGAUAUUUUUUUUGUACUCGUCUUGGGUAUUUGAAUAUUCAGAAGCGACCCCGUAAAUAUAACACCACAAGAAGUGUUCAUUCUUUUCCAUGAGUCUUAGUUCAAGUGAGAGAAUAUUAUCUUUCAUUCUUAUUUUUUCUAAAUAACAACUGAUAGUAUUAUGUUGGAGGCACCUAAGACAAGUGAGUGAGUCGGGAAAUGUAAUUUUGUGGGUGAAUAUAUAAAAACGAGUAUUUACAUUUUUGUUCACUAAAUUUAACUGAUUUUAACAAAUUUGUACCCAAAAGUAGAGAUUGAACUGGGAGUGUCAGCUUGAACCCAUUGAAGUUGUUUGGUUGAACACAUGUCAUUAUGACACUAACAUUCAACCCCCAAGUGACUAUGUUAACAAAAUUAAUAAGGGUGUUAAGAAAAGCGUUGAUACUAACGAAAAUGAACAUUUAUAUCUUACACAGAAAAAAAAAUGAAAUUUAUUAUCUAAAUUACAAACUAUUUAGAGUUCAUUUUUUUUAGCGUUUCAUGACAUUUUUUUGGAUCUUGUAUUCAUUUUUGAGUAUUUUGUUUAUUUCUAUAAAUUAAUGUUAAAAUUGUCUUACAAUUAAUAUUAUCUUGGAUUCAAAUUGGGUUACCACAAGUAUAAUGGUCGUUUUUACAUUGGUCAACCUAUCAACUAGUUAAAUAUAUGAAGCAAUGUGGUAAAAGUCUAUUGAAUUAAUAAUAAUUCCUUCAAAUAAAAAUUAGUUGCAUCUUUAUAACAAUUAUCGUCGUAAAAAAUCUACCCUAAUAAAUAAGAAUGAUUUUGCCACAUGUCCUUCUCUCAUUCAAUUUGCCACAUGUCAUUUUGUUAUAAUUUAAAUUUAAAGAUAUAUUUAUUUUCCACUUGUCAUUUAUUUCAUUUUCCAUUUCUAAUAUAUUAUUAAUUAGUUUCCAUAAAUUAAACCUACCAUAAUGAUAUUAAUUUUAAAUUUUAAAUUUUAAAUUUUAAAUUUUAAAUUUCAAUUUCAAUUUCAAAUAAAUUUACAGUUUAAACCUCUGUGUUUAACAUUUUGUUAUAAUUAACUUAUUUAGUAUACGGGUCUGAUAACUAAACAAUAAUUUUAAUUUAUUUAUUUUUUGCAUGUUUUUUUUUCUCAUAAUUUUUAUUUAUUUUAAAAUUCAAAUUCAAAUAAACUUCUCAUUUAAUCGUUUCUAUUUAACAUUUUGUUUUAAUCAACCCGUAUAAUAUACGGGUUUCACAACUAGUUACAUUAAUAGGUUUUUAGUAUUUCAUUAGAAAAGGUAUUGUUAAUUAAUAAAAGUAUACUUAUAUGUUAGUAACCAAUUAAUAAAAAACACUUAGUUACAGAAUUCGGUAAAAACUUAUAAAUUAAUACAAUUAAAUUAAUUUAGAAUAAACAGAAGUUACCAAGUCAAAGAUCGCAUCCCCACAACUUCUCCACAACUCUCUCUUCCACUCUCUUCAAAAUAACCAACUCCUUAAUUCAAAUCAACCUUAAAAGCACUCUUUACUUAACGUAAACCACCACUAGCAAUCUUUCUCCCAAAAACCCUAUACAAGUUACAACCAUGAAGAACACGAUCACCAUUUUCAUGGCAGUAGCCUUCUUCUCCUCCAUUCUCACAGUAUACUCCAUCGAAUUUCAAGUUGGUGGUGACAAAGGGUGGGUUAUUCCCACCUCAAAGGAUAGUACUGAUCUCUACGACGUAUGGGCUUCCAAGAAUCGUUUUAACAUCAACGACACACUUCGUAAGUUAUAAGUUGUAUGUUUAUUUGGUAUCACAAAAAGAAAUUUUAAAAGUUUAUACAGUAUUGUAGUAAAAAGAAAUAGAACUAAGGUAUGGAAGUACAUUGUUGUUUCUUGCAUUUAACCCCUACAUAGUAUAAAAAAGUCUCAUAAAUGUGUAGAUUUUGCAUACAAGAAGGAUUCAGUGUUGGUUGUGAGCAAAGAAGAGCAUGCAAAGUGCAAGUCAUCGCACCCUAUCUUUUUCUCCAACAAUGGUGACACUACUUUUGAAAUCGAUCGAUCUGGAUAUUUUUAUUUCAUUAGUGGAGUUUCAGGGCACUGUGAACGUGGACUUAAGAUGAUUGUGAAGGUUUUGGAGCAUGGAAACAUUGCUCAAACUGCAAACCAAACUUCUACGAACAGCAGUGAAGCGGUUUCAUUAAAGAUGGAUAGUACAGUAUGUUCGCAAAUUGUUAUCAUCGUAGGACUCAUCUCAAUGCUUACAGUUUUUGUGUAAUUUAGUAAUUAGAAUUUGGAUGUUUUGUUAAGUACUUAGAAGACUUGUUUAGAGUAAUUAAGUAUCAAGGUUAAAAUAAUACAUUUAUGAGUUUUUUUUUAGAAAUAAAGUCAUUAAUAAUAGUAUCAAGGUUGAUAUUGUCCAAAAUAUCUUUUUUGAUGCAUAACUUAGAUAAACCAUUUAUUUUUUUGAUGUGAUGUGAUAUUGAUGAUCUUAAAUAAUUUUUUAAUAAAUUCAAUUUUAAAAAAAACUUUUUUCCAUCAAUGAUAUGGGUAAAGUUAAUAAGUUUUGAUAUGCAAUAAAACGAUGUUAAUAUUCUUUUUUUACAAACUCUAAGAUUUCAAAUGUAGACAUAAAUACAUUUGACAAAAUAAUUUGCAACACUUUGAUUUCCGAAAACAAAUUAUUUGAAUCUAUAUCACAUGAGUUAUUACAUGAGUUAUUAUGAGAAAUUUGUUUUGCAGACAUAAUACAACACUUUUUAAGCUCAAUAUCAUCUAAUGAAUUCAAUAUUUUUGAGUCAUAAAAAAACCAAAAACAUUUUAAAAAAUCGUUAAUUAUUCAAAUCUAUAUUUUAAUGAAGCAAUGGUCAUAUCAACAACAACAAUAAUAUACUCAAGUUUAAAAGAUUUUUAAGGUGACUAUAAUUCAUAUUCAUUAUCAGUUUUCAUCAAAUUGUUUUCUCGUUUAAAAGAUUUUUAAGGUGACUAUAAUUCAUAUUCAUUAUCAGUUUUCAUCAAAUUGUUUUCUCUAAUAAUUCGGCGUCUUAUUGGAAAGGUAGGUUCAACAUCAAUACAAAAUUCAAUGACUUUAGAACCUUUAUUAUAAUCUUUUCCAUUUACAUCAUCAAUAUUAUGAUCUAAUGAUUUUAAUGCAUCUAAUAGAUCAUUAAAAGUCUUAAACCUGAAGUAUCAUCUACCUUCAAAAAUUAAAAAAAAAAUUAUUCGUCAAUUUUUAUUUUGUUACAAGACAUAUUCACACAUCGAAUAGCUAAAGUCAUUUGUUUUAUAUAUAGCUACAUCAGUGUACAAUAAAAUAUUAUAGAAAAAUAUUUUGCUUUUUAUUUAAUUUUAAGUAUAAAUUUUUACAUUAUUAGCUAAAAUAGAUUUUAGUUCAUUUUGAGUUGUUGAACAUAGAUAAUGAUUAUAAGUUUCAUGAUUUUUUAUAUGGUUCUUGUAUUAUAUUAUUAAAUUUUGUCAUCAUUUGAAUUACUCCUAUAAAAUUACUGUUAUUUUUUAGAUUAAUCUUCUCGCUAGACCUCCGAAAAGCGAAAUUGUAUUUGGACAAAUAUUUUACAGCAACAAUGAUUCUUAUUAAAAACUUGUAAUCACCGUUAUUUUUCUUUUAUAUUUUUUUUGUUGCAAAUCUUUAUCAAUCGUUUAUUAUUAUCAAAUAUUUUUUAACCAAUUUCCAAGAAUAAAUAGGAAUAAGAUGAAUAGUGCUAUUUUCAAUUUCAUGUUCGUCAAGUCUAUUGAAAAUGUGUUUCUAAUUAUUAAACCCAUCAUUUUCUAAAGAAUUAUUAUUAUUAUUAUUAUUAUUAUUAUUAUUAUUAUUAUUAUUAUUAUUAUUAUAUGCACCAAUAAGAAAAAAAUAUGUAGAUAAACUAUCGAAAACACAAGAUUUAGUUCUCGAAUUAGCCAUGUUCAAUUAAAAGUUCUCGUAAUUUAUCGUCAAUAAUAUCCCAAUUACUUGGACCAUAAAUGUUUAAAGGAGGAACAAAUUGUUGUUCAUUCUCAUUCGUAACAUUAUCAUUAUCAUUAGUUAUAUUUUCAUUCUCGUUGAUGAUAUUUUCAUUGGUAUUAGUGGCAUUCUUAUUUUUAUUAAAAAAAUUAUGUUUUUUGUUAGCGGUAUUUUCAUCCUCAUUAGUACUAUUAGCAUUAGAAGUACCUAUUUCUAUCAUAAAUUUAUCCAUGAAUCCUUUUUGAGCCGGUGUUUCUUGUUGGAUUUUUUAUUUUAUUUUUUCCGAUCUCACCACCAGAUAAAUGUUCUCUAGGAAACAUAUUAUUACUUUAAACUUACAUCACAAUGAAUAUGAGAAAAAACAAGUAAAAGAAACGAAAACACAUGAUUGUGAUUUUUUUUGGUGUUUCUAGGCUCCAACAACAAUUAUUCAUCAAUAUUACUUCAAAUUUCAGAAACAAAAAAAUGUAAUGCCUCGUUUUCACUUUAAAGAUUUAUAGAAUGAAAAUAACUGUUUAUAAAAGGAAAAGCAAAAAUAUAACACUUUUAAGCUGAAAUGAUCUAAAUGAUAGUUGUAGUAGACGAAAAUAUGAAAUCGUGGAUAUAAAGAACGUCGAAAAUGGAAGUUGUAUGAGAAAGUUACAAUCAUCCAAAGAUAACGAGAAAAUAAUAGUUUCCAGCGCAGCAGCAACCCGAACACCAAAACACCAACUAUCUUUUGUGAGGUAGCCAUGUGGCGACGUGGUUUCCAAGAUUUUUGGCCCCUAUAAAUACCAAGCCACCCUUCUUUUAUUCGUUGCUAAUUUCGAUCGAAUUUCUGUAUCAACCCUUGAGAUUUUAGUCCAUCGUGAUUUGAUUUCUUCAUUCUUAUGAAUAGCUUGACGAAGCGCUAGAGCGUUGGUGAAUCUUUUUAGAAAAGGAUUCGGCGUCAAAGUUACAUUCUCCGUUUUUAUGAGUUUUUUUUUUGUCAAUCAGGUAAAUUACACUUUUGCUUAUGUAACUUGAUAUAGUGUAUAACCAUUUUCGCUUUUAUGAACUUGAUUACGAGAUUAAUCAAUAAUUCCAAUUAUUACACCGAUUGAUCUACUUACAAGAAUAAUGUCUAAGAUGGACAUGUUAGCUUGAUUGUUGGAUUUCAUAAAGGCUAUAUGCCGAAAUGAUUUUGCUUCCUAACUGUCUUGACUGGCCAAUCCUUAUUUGAUAGUUAUUUCAAUAUUAAUGAGAUUAGUGAAGGAGCUAGAUAGUAGUUACUAGAUUCCAUAGUUAUUAAUUUGUUAUAGUAUUAUAAGUUAAUACGUACUUGGCGUACCUGCUCUCCAGUUGAACUAUAGUUAGCUGUUCAAGUGAGUUCCACCAACUCAUUUAUUAUGUUUAUUAUGCUUUUAUAUGUAUGUUAGGAAGUAGAUAUGUUGUAGUAUGUUGUAAGGAAAGUAGACUAGCUUAGUCGUUUGCAUGUUGUUGUUGGAUUGUCUAUUUGUUUGUUGUAUAUGUAUAGCAUGUCUAGUAAGUGUAUAGGUUAGAGGAAUGGACUAACAAAGGAUAUCCUACAUGGAAUCAGUUAGAGGAAGGCAAUCAUGACAAAUGUGUGAUCAGUCAUCCCUCGAUCAUAAAAUUUGUAUAAUCGGUCCUCCUUAAUGUAUCCAGUAAGGACCUAUGUAUUAGGGUCCAUUACCCCAUUAUUGGGAAGUAAGGACUAGGGUAUUAGGGGAAGGGCAAUCAUGACGCGAUGUGUGAUCAAUUGCCAAUAGAAGUCCAUUACUCCUUUAUUGGGAAGUCGAGACCAGGAUUGUAAUAGUAUAUGAUAGGAUUGAUAUGUAAACCUAUGUGCUAUUUGAAAGUAUAUGAUUAUUAUAAUGGCUGAGUAUUGUGUAGAGCUCACUAAGCGUUUUUUCUUACCCCUGACUUAUUAUAUUAUCAGGAUUUACGUAUAAGAACCCAGCGUAACUGGAACAACAUCCACAAUUUAUUAUUUAAAACUACUUUGAUAAUAUAAUGUCUUCUGCUAUUUACUCUUAAUGAUAAGGUAUUAUGUAACACCAAAAUUGUAACAACCCAAAAAUCCAGAUAAAAUUUUUCAUUUUUAAUUAAAGUUUACAACCAUGAGUAUGAUACCGAAAAUCCAUUACAUAAUCAGCAUCAUACAAACUCAUCAGAGUGUCCAUAUCAGUGACUACGGAAAAUAGUGGAGAGUGAAUGUUGCGCCAUCAACCGGACCCUUCCUUUAGAACCAGACACACCUGAAAUCACAGUACAAACAUUAAGCUAAUGCUUAGUGAGUUUUCCCAAAAUAACACACACCAAUAAUACAAAUGGGCCCGACACUAGGGUUCAUCCCAACCCAAUAACAAGUAUGGGCCUCGCCCUGGGUUAUAUUACAACCCAAGUAUAUCAUAGUGGGCCCCGCCCUAGGGUAUAUUUCAACCCGUUAUGUCAUACUGAGCCCCCCCGGGGUAUAUUUCAACCCAAUCACAACGUGUAACAUAAAACGAAUAACAUACUACAUAAAUGGAUAAUGCGCCGACCUUGGUGCCUUUGACCCAUGGUUAUAGUGAGAAGACUCACCUUAGACUGCUGGUAAAAAAUACUGCUUGGCUACUGGUCCCAAAAUCUCGCAUUGAAUAUACACAAGUUAUCCUAAUUAGAAUUAAAUCACAAACUCAAGACAUAGGCCCAAAAAUCCUAAGUCCAAACUCCUUCAUUAAGGCCCAAAAGUCUUUCCUUCAUUAAUGGGCCUAACAUCUAAAGUCCAAAACAAUAAUGGGUCACAAGGCCCAACCAUGCCCUUUAUGGUCAAAAAAAAAGUUCAAAGGCCCAAUACUCUAAUAGAUCCAUGCCCAAGGUUAAUUAGCGCCCAAAUGGCUCAAAAGUCCGUCGAAAUCCCAAAACCCAUUGGAAGGUACACCCAACAUACAUCUUAAUUACACUUAGCUUACUAAGUUCUUGGGCAGUACGUGCAGUGUAUAAACUAGUACGAACAACGUACAAGCUACUUUGCACAAAAAGCCAUUAAUUGCUUAAUACAUGAAGAUUCUUCAUCCAAUUCCAGAUCUUGGUCAUUUUCAAGAUCCUAGGGCAUAAAGUUGGAAACUUUAUGCCUUUGCAUGCAAUAUGGGAACCUAACACCUCAUUUUAUCUAUUAAGAAUCCCUUUAAGACCUUAAACUCAUGCAUGGUGCCAUAACAACCAUCAAGUUAGCAUUUUUUUGCUUUUAACAUGCCAAAGGAACUCAGGUCUAACAUUCCUAACCUAUGGAGUUGCUCAAACUCACAUGAGAGGAUCCAUGGACAAAAAGUGGACUUGUUACUAAACCCUAACUCAAACUAGCAAAAGGAUUAGCAAGAUAUGAACCUUUUACCUCCAAAAGCUCUCCAAGAUGAUCUAUAAGCAGGAUCUACAAGCUUUCCUACAUCUAAGACUUGCUCACCAGUUCCUUUUCCUUGCUAACACACUAAAAUAGGUUACUUUAGGCACCUUCAAGCUCAAGAAUCACUCUCAAUGGAACUAGGGUUUUAGGGAUGUUUAAAGGCAAUGGAGGCUGGUAAGGAAGAGGGUUCAAGGUCAUAAAUAUGCUUAAAUUGGGCUUAAGUCCGAGAUUUAGGGUUUUAGCCUUUGGCUUCGUACGCACCACGUACAUGCUUGUACGCCCCGCGUACGCGCCUAAGCUACCCGACGCAUCCACUUGUGUAUGCUAAGCCUACAUACAUGUACGGCCAACGCACGGAGGGUCCUACUUUGCAACUUUAAAAUUCAUCAUGGGCUUAAAAUGAAAUACCUGGAUUUUGGAUGUUACAACUCUUCCCCACUUGAAUUAGACUUCGUCCUCGAAGUCUGCCCACAUAAAUAAAUCUGGGUAAUGCUCUCUAAUCUUGUCCUCCAGCUCCCAUAUCCAUUCAGAACCCUCCAGUGCUACCAUUGCACCUUCAAUAGCUUCACCACUUUCUUAUGAAGAGCAUUAGUUUUUCUGGCCAACAAUGUAAUGGGCUUAACAACAUAGUUCAGGCUCUCAUCCACCUGAAUAUCAUCUACCGAGAUAACUGCAUCCUGAUCUACUACACACUUCCCUAACAGAGACACAUGGAAGGUGUUAUGGAUCUGACUGAGCUCAUCAGGGUGAUCCAGUCGAUAAGCAACCCUGCCAACUCGGGCAGAAAUCCUGAAUGGACCAAUGAAUCGAGGACCCAGCUUGCCCCUCUUCUGAAAGCGGAUGACACCUUUCCAAGGUGAAACCCUCAACAAUACAAAAUCUCCCACCUGAAACUCGAGAUCCGAUCGAAAUCGGUCAGCAUAGCUUUUCUGACGACUCGCAGCCUAUCGUGCACAUGUUGAAUCAACUCACUGGUCUUAAGCACCACUUCGUGCUUCCCAUGACUUGAUGGCCAACCUACCCCAACAAAUCGGAGUCCUACACCUCCUUCCAUACAACAUCUCGAAUGGGGUUGGUCAAUACUAGCAUGAUAACUAUUGUUGUAGGAGAACUCUACUAGUGGGAGGUAAGUAUCCCAACUCCAUCUAAAGUCUAAAACGCAUGCUUGAAGCAUAUCCUCGAGCAUUUGGAUUGUCCGCUCACUCUUCUCAUUGGUCUGGGGGUGGUAAGCUGUACUGAAGUGCAGUUGAGUGCCUAAAUCCUCAUGAAACUUCCUCCAAAAACUGGAGGUGAACUGAACAUCACAGUCCGAGACCACAGAUACCGACAUUCUGUGCCUGAUUACCACUUCUCGAACAUAGAUAUCCCCUAAUUUCUCGGCGGGUAUACUCUUAGCAAUCGAAAUAAAGUGAGCACUCUUGGUCAGCCUAUCAAGAAUAACCCAAAUAGAAUCAACACCCUGCUCCGUCCUAGGUAGUUUCGUGAUAAAAUCCAUGGUGAUCUCCUCCCUUUCCACAUGGGGAUGGGUAACGGCUGGACCUUGCCGUGAGACCUUUGAUGCUCGACUUUGACCUUCCUACAGGUCAAACACCGUUCAACAAACCAAGCAACUUCCCUCUUCAUGCAGGGCCACUAGUAGCUCAAUAUCCGUUCUUGGUACAUCUUCGUGGCCCCCAGAUGAAUAGAAAACUUAGACUUAUGCGCCUCCUUCAAAAUCUUCUGCCUCACCCCACCAAAUUCUGGAACCCAAACCCUACCACACUGAGUCAAUAAUCCUCGACUGUCUCUGAAAAACAACAGAAUCUGCCCCCUAAUACGCUCAGUCUUCCAAAUUUCCUUUUUCAAUAUUUCUACCUGAGCCUCCUUAAUCAUAUCCAUCAAUGGUGAGGUAACCAUCAUCCUCAAAUAAAUAUCUCGGAUUAGAGAACACGCUGUUGGAUAAGGUCUCUAAGUCCAUAACUAUAUUUGGUAUGUACUUGACCCGUCCCGGCAUGGUCCAUUUGGGUUGCAUGGCAUCAUGCAUUUGGAUAGACUAAAUGAGAGAAAUAACACUUGUGGUUUAUUAAUAUAUUAUAAGUUCUAAUAUAUUAAUAGUAUUAUUUAAUUAGUAUUGAUCAAGCAUUAAUUAAGUGAUCAAAAGAUAACUAAUUAAAUAUAUGGGUUGAUUAUGUAAAUCAUCCAUAACUUGUAUAGUGGGCUAAAAGGCUCCAUGGAUUAUCAAGUUGGGUUAAACCCAUAGGAUGCUCCAUGGAUGCUCCAUGGGUCAUGGAAAUGAAGAGUCAUGUCAAAUUAAGGUUUACAUGGUGUAACCCUAGAUGUGACAUACUAUAUAAGGAUCAUUAUACUUACCAAAAUCGUGUACACACUAAGAACAAGAGAGGGCAAGCCGAUUUAUACAAGUGUUAUACAUACUCUAAGUUAUUCCAAAGCAUUUGGUGUUGUGUGAAGCAUUUGAGGCAUCACACUUGGGGUGCUAGGCUCACAAGGUUUCAAGGAUCCAAAAUCAACUACAAGGUAUGUAUUUCUAGAUAUCCUUUUAGGAUUAAAGUUCCCAUGUAUGCUAGAUAGGAUUAUGAACCUUGGAAACCAANCUUUUAGAUUAAAAGUUCCCCAUGUAUGCUAGAUAGGAUUAUGAACCUUGGAAAUCAUAUUUUGCAUGUAUUUUAGACAAACAUAGAUCCAAGGUUUUCUAGGGUUGCAUGUACACAUAGGGGUGUUAGAAUGCUCAAAACCCAUCAGUGGUAUCAGAGCCUAGGCUUGUUUGUUAAUACUUGAUGCAAAAUAGUGUAAAAAAUCGAUUUUUGAGUUGUCUACGCAGGGGACUCGACGAGUCCAAGUGAAAAUGCAACCAACUCGGCGAUUCAGUUCGUGUACUCGACGAGUUGGCCAGGCAGAGUGCAGAAUUUUGAUUUUUGCUGUUGGAAAUGGACUAGAAACAUUACCUUAAACUGUUUUGGUGUUGUAAAACUUGUUUUAGAUGGUUUAAUGGUUGUUCUAAUCCAUUUAUAAUGGCCAAUAUCAAUUUUUCAUGAUCUUAUGGGUUCAUAUGUUCUUGAAACUUUGAUAUGAAUAUUCAUGUUCUUAUGAGUUUUUGAUAGAUCAUAGGAAUUACUUGUUUAAAUGUUUAAUUCAUGAUCUUUAUGUGUUUUAAUGGAGUCCAUAACUUGUCCUCAAGUUAUGGAUAACCAAAAGUCUCUUUGUGUUAAAAACCAUUAAAAGAACACAUAAGUUAUAAAAUGAAGAGUCUUCAUUUUAAUAACUCAUAAGUUAUGAAUUUGAAAGGUUUUGUAAAGUUACAAAACUUGCCCUCAAGUUUUGGAACAUGUAAAGUCACUUAAUAAACUUUAGUUCCAACCCCUAGAUUUUUANAGAGCAAUUUGUCUUAACAUUAGUAGACCUCAUUCACGAAGCUGGUCUAUAAGGGGGGUAUAAGGUUGCUGCCUAUAAAAUGACAGCUUAAUGGGUGUCCACUCUCACCCACGACUUCCUUGAUCAGUGGAGGGUCGUUAGCCGAACAGGUAGGACAAGGACUUAUAAAUUCUCAUUAAAAGUAUGAUGAAUAUUAUAAAGUAACUAAAUGUUUAAUUAAAUUCCCAAUCUUAGUUACUGUAACGUCCGUAGAUCCGGGCUAGUCAAUUUAGAGAUAAUAGGGGUCGAAAACGAAUUUUCGACAAAAGAUUAUUUAGAAUAAAUAAUCUUAACCAAGUUGUAGAAUAUGUCUCAAGGGUUCCAUAGAAAUAAAGAACGUCAAAAUCCGAGUUAUAACAAAGAAGUUAUGACCCGUCGAAUUUUCGCGACGGAACCGGCACGACACCGGGAAGCGUAAAUAGUGAAUUUACGAUAGAGCGACUUUUAGCCUUAGCGAUCUAAACAAAAAUUGUAGAAAAUGUUAAACCGAGAGUGUCCAUAAAAAGAACACCCAAAUCUGACUUCGUAUGAGGAAGUUAUGAUUUUUCUAAGAUUUGACAUAGCGGUGCAUGGCCCGAAACUCGAAUUUUAGUUCGAGCGGUUUUUGGCUUACGCGAUCUAAAUGAGAGUUUAAUAUCUCAUUAAUAGGAACUCAAUGACAAAAAGACAGACGAAAACGGAGUCCGUAUGUAAAAGUUAUGAAUUUUACGCGAACAUUUAACAGUGUAGUCACCUCCUAUUGUUAAAUUUAAGAUCGGUCGAGAAUUAGCCGACGGAGUAAAAAGGAAAGUUGUAGAUCUUAUUUUUACCUAUGCAUGGAUAUAAAUAACGUAAAAAACAGAGCUCGUAUGCAAAAGUUAUGGACGAAGCUUAGUCUCUACUUUUCUAGCGCGGCGAAUUCGAUCGAUACAGUUUUGUAAAUCCGAGAUAGAAUGAGAAUUAGCCAACGAGGUCUAAAUGAAAGUUGUAGUACUCGUAAAUACCAAUGCAUGGAUAUAAAUAACUUCAGAAACAGAGCUCGUAUGCGAAAGAUAUGGACGGAGCUUAGUUGCUACUCUUCGUGCGCGAUAAAUACGAUAUAGUUUUUGUAAAUCUGAGAUAGAAGGAGAAUUAGCCGACGGGGUCUAAAUGAAAGUUGUAAUACUUGUAAAUACCAAUGCGUGGAUAUAAAGAACGUAGAAAACGGAGCUCUUACGCGAAUGAUACAGACGAAGCUUGGAGACUACUUUACUAUAAAAUUCCUAUAAAUAAGAGAUGAACUCUUUAUAAUUUCUUCACACCAUAAGCCUUUCUUUCUCUUUAUAACUUCUCUCUAACCUCCCUAAACCCCUCCCAAGUCUAGGGAACCUCCCUAGCAUGAGAAGAAAGCCCCGGAGCGCCCGACGGCUCCGAGAAGAAAAGCUUUCGGCUCGGAAACGCUGCUCCAGCGAAGCCCGGUUUUUAAUAAAAACCCGUUGUAAGUGAGCUACGCAUAUACUAUAUUUAAUAUACCAUUUAUUUAAUUAUAGUAACGUUAUUAGGAACUUAUAAUAAGUACUUGAGCUAUUAUUAUGGGUUAUAUAAGUAUUGUUUAACGCUUAUAUAAUAGUAAUAAUAGCUAGACUAUUAAUUAGUCUUGGCGAAUAAUAGACUAAACUCUAGUGGUAAUAAUAUUAGGAUUCGUCGAAGGAAAUUAUUUUUAAGAAGCGAAGCGCUUUAUGAGUUAUGAAUCACCACCUUUUCAAGUGAGUGCAUGGUCCCUUUCAUCUUACACAUAGAUAUGAAGUAUUUAUAUAUAUUACGUGUUGUGAGUGCAUGACCCCUUUCAUCUUACACAUAGAUAUGAAGUAUUUUAUAUAAAUUACGUGCUAUAUGUGCAUAUUAUUUGAAUACUUGCUGUCUAUAAUGGAGGAAUGAUUUUAUACAUGUUUUAAAUGAUUUAAAAUGUAUAUUUAUUUUAUAUCUACAAAUAUGUUGGGAUAAAACAUAGGUAGAUGAAAUAGUUGGUGUGUGAUGAAAUAAAAUGAUGAGAGACAGGUGAUGAUAAUUAGGUGAUGAUAGAUAGGUGAUGAUGAAUCGGUGAUGUAGGAUGAAAGAUACUAUAACCUUGUCCGACAAUUUGGAGAUGUAGUCAUCUACCAGAAUAUAGAUGGCGACCACGGACUAUUCUAGACAACCCCGUGGAAACACUAGCAGGCUCAUAACCUGUAGGUGAUGAAUUACGAGUUCAGGCGAUGUUAUAACUACGUAUUCAUGCGAUGAUACUCUAACCCUUACUAUGAAUUACGAGUUAAGACGAUGUUGUAACUACGUAUUCAUGCGAUGAUACUCUAACCCUUUACUAUGAAUUACGAGUUCAGGAAACGUUGUAACUACGUAUUCAUGUGAUGAUACCCUAACCCUUGUUGGGCACGUAUUAAGGGAGUAAUCGUUAAAUCAAUACUGUCCAUGCAAUGUAGGCGAUAAUCCUUAGGGAGAGUCCAUAGGAACAAACAUAUAAGGAAAUGCGACGUAAGGAGAUGAGAGAUAAAUAUGAUGUAGGAGACGACCCUUAGGAUAAAUCCUUAGGGAAGGUACUUAGGAAUAAAGAAGAUAAUGGGGAUGGGUAAUUGGGUUAAUUGUUUGAUGAUUAAACAUAAUAAUUAUAUUAUUGUGAGUUGAAAACCCUAUGUACUCACCAGGUUUCCCAACCUGACCCACUUAGUUUACUUUUAUCACAGGUGACGAUGUGAAGUUACAUUACGCUGAAAGAUUAAGGAGAUAUAGAUCACUAGUGUAAAUUAAUGUAAGUUUUGUUUAUGCUUAUGUUUUUGUAUUGACGAUGACAUCCUAAAUAUUUUUAAAGGAAUAAAAAUACAUUUCUUCGAAAAUGAUUUGAUAAUGAAAUUAUCAUGUUUUUCUGGAAACAAAUUCCGCAACGUUUUUGUUGAAAGAGAUAUUCUGAUUUUUAUAAAGCAUAAACAAAAUCGGUCUUUUCUGGCCGUGAAAAUGGGGAUGUCAUAGUUACUUUAGGAAAAUGUGAAUAGGGUGGUAAUCCAUGAAAUUACACUUUACACUUUGAUUAAGUCGUUAGUGGAGCGUGUGUGGUUAACCGGCACACUAACCUGGACUUAACAAGGUAGGUAAAUGGUGACUUAAAGUUUAUCAUAGUAUCGGUGGAAUGCGUGUGGUUAACCGACANGAGCGUGUGUGGUUAACCGACACAUCGAUUGAGUGAUAAACUUUAAGGGUACCAAGUGAUUUGCAUGGUUACUUCACACCUCGUUUUGUGAUCCUCGGUAUCCCAGUCACAAAACUUGGAGGGCACACUCGAGAUUGAAACAUGCCUUUGAAAAGUUCAUUGAAUCUCAAAAGAAUCUAGGAAUUUUUAAGAACCAAUUAAAACCUAAUAAUUUAUAUUUUGGUUUUUGGUGGAAAUUGGCGAAUCGUCAUUCACCUACCUUUCAAAUAUAUUAUAGCUUAGAUUAUGGCAUACCUCUUCUAAGUUAUGAUAUAUUGUGAUUGAAUCCUAGCCUUAAUAUUACAUUUGGGUGUGUUAUUAAGGACUAUCUUUAUAUCUAAACUAAACUUGUUCUCUUCUUUUCAUAUGUCUUCCAACAACACUGCUUCAAGAUUAAACCCUACUAGCUCCUUUUCCCUCAUGAAUCUAUGUGGGAGGGUCAUCAUCGAUGGUUCCAACUUUAUGGAUUCGAUCCGGAACAUCAGGAUGGUGACUCGCUACGAGGACAAGGAAUAUGUCCUUGAUAAGGAGCUAAAGGAGAUCGAUGAGUCCACUGCUACUCCAUAGGAGAUCGCUAACUUCCAAACUCAUGAAAGAGAUGUCACCAAAGUGGCAUGCAUCAUGAUGGCCACCAUGAUAGCUGAACUCUAAAUGUCCUAUGAGGACUACUACCCUUUUGAGAUGCACCAAGAUAUGAUGGAAAGAUACCAUCAGAGUGCUCGUCAAGAGUGGUAUGAAAUAAUAUCCUCCAUGAUAACAACCAGGAUGAAGGACGGAGAAUCCGUCACGAGCCACAUGCAGAAAAUGCAAAGGUAUGUGGAUCGUUUGCUGAAGCUUAAUGUGAACUUCCCCGAGGAGCUUGCAAUAGAUAUCACUUUGCACUCCUUACCCUCGUGUUAUGAUCAAUUCCACAUGACAUACCACAUGAAUAAGGAAGAAGUCACACUCAGCAAACUUCAGGGACUCCUAAAGACCGCAAAAACAGGUCUUAAAGGUAAGUCGGUUGUUAACACUCCUACUCCUACUCCAAACUCCACCCCUGUUUGGCAAUUGGGAAAGGUAGAGGGAAGAAGAGGAAGAUUUCUUCGAAGGGUACCAAGGCUAGGACCCUUGAUGGCUCUUCUUCAAGUGGAACCAAAAAAGGUUUCGCCACUCCGUCUUCUGACCCAAAAGAGGCUGAAUUCUUCUAUUGCCAUGCAAAGUUGCAUUGGAAGCGAAACUGCCUAAAGUACCAGCAAAAUGUGAAGGAUGGGAAAGUUAAAGCCAACCAUGCAGGUAUUUACACUAUUCUAUCUAAUAACUUAUCCUAUUCUAACUCUUGGGUCCUUGAUACCGGUUGUGGUAUUCAUAUAUGUUCUGAUUUGCAGGGACUAAGAAGAAGUGAGAUUGUGGAGCAUGGAAAGAUAAACUUGAUCAUGGGAAUAGGAAAGAUUCACCUGUCACCAAGAUUGGAGUUUAUUCUUUGUUACUAAGUAGUGUGUUUACUUUAGAUUUGAAUAAAUGCUGCUAUUCACUAGAAAUGUCAAGAAAUAUUAUUUCCUUUCAUGCUUUGUACAAACAAGGAUUUACCUUUUCUUUUGAUAAUGAAAUUGGUGGAAUAAAUGCUUUCUUUAAUAAUGUUCUUUAUUUUAAAGCAUUACCUUGUGAUGGUGUGUAUGAAGCUGUAUCUGUUGUAGAUAAUCUAGGAAAUAAUGUGUUGUGUAUUUAUUCUGAUAAGUUAAAAACUAACUUGAAGAUCGAUUAGAUCUAUAAAACAGGUAAAGAAAUAAACGAGUAAACAGCAAGAACACAAUAAUGGAUCAAAUAUGUUGAAUGAUUAAUCAACAAUCCUCAGAAGAGCUCGAUAAAGAACUUCUACUGUAGAGGAUUAAAAGGGUUUACAAGAACGAUUAAAGAAAUCUGUAAACUAUCGUAAUUGCUAUCGUCUUCUAGAUCGUUAACCUAACAUGCAUGCAAGCACAUUAUUAUAUACUAAACCCUACAAGCUCACGGUUGGACAGGCCCAAAACCGGAGUGCAAAACUUUGGACUAUAAACUGAGCCCAAUGACGCAAUACAAAAUAAAUCUGCUACCCAACAAUCUCCCCCUUUGCGUCAAUUGGAGCGAGAUCAUUACUUCUUAUUUGGGCCAGCAGCAGCAGGAACCUUCUUCUUUACAGUCUGAAACAGACACGAGAUAAGAGUGAGUAUCGUUUGUCUGAAUCGGAUGUACCACUGAAUCAUGUCGUCCGCUGCAUUUUCUUUACACCUGUGGAUGAUCCCAUUCACAUGCUCAAGACAAGCAGUGGUAUAAAGAUGUUUAUCCGCUAAGGCAAAGAGACAUUUCUGUCCUUCAGCCCUAGUGAAUAUGACCGAGUUUCGCCUUGGGUCAAUCUUUCCCAUCUUCAUCUGGUUCAGAUCACUGGCUGAGCCAACAGGAGAGAUCUUCGGUUUCUUCUUGAAGACAUUGGCAACCUCCUGAUCCAUCAAGGCGACCUCCAUGAUAUAACAUACCAAGAUCCUUUUGAUAUGGUCAAUUAUCGGACCAUAUUCAGCUUCAUUCGUCAAAAGGAUGUUGUGCAGAACGAUCCAGUCAUGGGGGUUGAGGUUCGGUAGAUCUGCUAAAGAUAUGAGAUGUUCGGUUUUUGCAGACCCUCUGAUCACCCUGAACCGAACGUUGAUGAACCUCCCUUCAGUGUAUGGCUUCAGAACCUGAACGUUGACGAUCUUCUGAGCGCUCCAGGUUUUAUACUGGGGUUGAGCGGCCUUCAGAUAGAACUCAAUUAAUUCCCGAUCAACCUCCGGAUGAGGAUGAGGGACUUCAGAAACGUUGGCGAAGGCGUGAAAGAUGAACGCCUUUCGGGUUAAGGGCAUGUCGAACUGCGAGUUGACAGAAUUGUAGCAGUCAAAGGAGAUCACCGGUUCGAGCCAUAGGAUGCUCGGAGUAUCGAUUACCUCCUUAAUCAUCCUCUCUCGAGUCCAAGCAGGGAAAAGAGUCUUCCUGCUCUCGAGGAGAUUGUGGGCUUCUUUUUGUUUGCAUUCAGUUUCUUCAGCUUCUCGCGCCGCACGAACGUUAUCAUCUUCAACAUUGCGACGAAUUUUGCGUUUAAGCAAGUCGGCAAUGGUUUCUUGAUCAUCUUCCUCUUCAUCCUCAGCUAUCUUCUUUCCUUUAUCCUUCACACCCGAACCAGAGGUUUGACCUGUAGGAGGAGGUUCGGUUGUGUGAGCAGCUUUUGAGGAAGGAGGUGGUUUCGAUCCGGACUCCUUUUCUCCCCCUUGUUUCGGAGUGGACACGAAACUAGGUAGCCCUUCUAUUUUACUGAGCAGAUCCAGGGCAGGAGCGAGUUUUUCAGCAAGGGUUCGCCUCACCGAAUGGUUCAGGAUCGGAUCGUGUGCUUCCAGGAUGUUGGAUAUGGCAGAGUGUACAUCCGAAACACAUGUCUUGAUGACCUCCCGUUCGGAUCGAAGAGCGUCAAGUUGUUGCUGAGAGUUGGAAAGCUGAGCACUCUUGACCUUGAGGGCAGUGGUCUUCUGUGCUAGAACGUCCAUCAAUGAGUUUUCGGCGGCCAGAUCCUCUUGGAGUUUAGAGAGGCGCUCAUCGAUGGAGGCACGAAGGGCCGAGUUGUCGUCAUUGAUUGAUUGGCGAAGGGUGGCAAACGACUUCAACUCCGUGGAGACGAACGUGGCCAACUGUUGAACAAUUGGUUCCAACGUUGUCUUUGUAGCAUCGACACUCUCCUGUAAGGACUUUAACAGGUUGGAGGCGUCAGAGAAUAGUUUAUCGACUUUUUCGGUCNUUUGUCGAAGCGUCAAUUGCUGCAGUGGCAGAAGCAACAGAAUCAUGUUGAGCCCGGGAAAAGGCAUCAACGAUCUUCUGAAGAGCAGCUUCAGAGAGAGAGGAUUGAGAAUUGGAGGAUGAAGCAAUAAGCAGGUCAACCUUCUCAUGCAGCUCCUUAAGAUGUUUCUUCGUUACUGGAGCUUCCUCAUCAUCGUCGCUUUGGACCUGAAACGGACUGAAAUAGACCGAAUCAAAUUGCAUGUUCUCCCCGCCAAGGAAAGGGUUAUCUCCGUUAGAGGCAUGACCUGGAGAUGGUGGUGGUGGAGAAGCCGGUGGUGUUNGGUAGGUUCGGUUGGUGUUUGAGUGGGGGUAGGUUCGGGUGGUUGUUGGGUUUCGGUUGUGUGUAUGGGUUCGGUUACUGGUGGUGGUUCGGUUGCAUCGGUAUGAACCCCCGUAUCAGAUACGUUGGUUGUAACCUUUGCAGUAGCUGUUGUGGUUGUAUUAGUGAAAAUGGGUGGUGGUAUAGUGAAAGAGGUUUUAGGAAUGUUGGUAGUGGGGGUUAUGGUGGGAAUGGAAGUGGGAAUUGUUUGAGUAGGAGAGGAAAUUGGUGAGUUAUGGAUUUCCAUGUCAGGGGUAGGGGAUCUGGGUGGGGUGUUGCCUCUUGGAGGGGUGUUGCCUCUUUGAGAGCCGUCCGAAUCCGAACUCUCACCCUCCGACUCCUCGGAAGAGGAAGCGAUAAUGAGCUUUCUCUUAGGUUGAGUCUUUCGCCUCUUCUGCUGCGGGGACUAAGCAACUUUAGGAGCCUUCCUCUUUUUAGGAGAAGGACCUUUAGCCCCUUUGGUCACUUGUUUCCCUUUAUCUGCCUUUUUGGCUCUAUGAACAGGCUUAUCAGCAUCGUGAAUAGACUUGAGCAUCUCCGGUGUGAGAUCCCUCGGACCAGACCUUUUGAACUCCUUGUAGGUCCGAAUGAUCCUACUGUCAGCUGGAACAUCAGCGUACAUGGUCUCCGGGAUUGAACCAAUGAAAGGGAACUUCGAUGCAUCUGAGACGAUGAUCUUCAUGGUAUGGAAUGUACCAAUCGAAGACAUCAAUGCACCGACAACAGUGGAGACAUCGUGCUUAUCCAUCGCCCACUUAGUAAUGAUGGUCCAAAACCUGGCAUACGACACCUCAGAAUGUCGUGAAGAAGAGGAUAAACUCUGGAUGAGUUGUUGCCAGAGAACCAACCCAUAGUCGACAUUGACGCUGUUGUAAAUCCCAUACAGAAUGGAUAGGAAGAGUCGACUAGAGCCGUCUGAACCGGAGCUCCGUUCUGAAAGACCCUUGAAAAGGACAGUGAACAUGCCGUUCCACUGUGGCGGCAAACACGAUUUUUUAAACUUUGCGACGGAGGUGAGCAACUCUGUGUACCCCAUAUUAUAGAACAUACUGUUGAGAUGGCCCAACGGAAUUGUCUCCGGAUUAACCCUAGCAGUGAAGCAAAUCGUUGCUUGGAAAUCGAAGCUUUGUGAUCAGAAACCUCGAAGAAGAUUCUAUCGACCGCUUUGUCAUAAUGUGCAGUCGCAUAGAUCUGCGAUAAAAGCUCCAUAGGCACUGAUUCCACCCGUGAAAGUGCAGGUGCUAUUGGGGAAUACUUCAGGCACUCGAUGAUUGGGAACAUGUAGGAGUCGUACGCCUGAGGGAUUAAAUCGAUCACCAAACACUGUUGAGGGCGAAUGGGAAGGAUGUGGGAAGGAGCGUGAACAGACGAUGAUUCUGCCAUUGUUGAAGUUUGGGAAGAAGAUGAUGAACAGUAAGGGUUUCAGGGAAUUUUUGCUCUCUUGGGAAUUUUGAUGCAGUAAAGAGGUAAAAGGGAGAUGAGGUCGCCUUUUAUACUAGGGUUUAAGGAGAGAGAAAUAUCUUCCCAAAUCUUCUAUCGAAAUACGAAAGGUUUUCCCCGGAAUCGGACUGGUGCGUGACAGUUAAGGUAAGCGAUGAUCACGCAUGAGAGAGAAUGUCAGAUUCCUUGGAACACGCUGCCCAACAAGCGCCGUUUCUGAAGAAACCGUUUCAAAUUCACACUCGCCUUUCUGUGCCAGAGAGGAACCAUUUCAAAUUCUCACACGCGUCCACGACGUCAGUUAAAGAGUGGACGUUUCAAAUUCGCAUGCGUUCCCUUUUUACCGCCGGUUGAAAUUCAAUCCAUAAGACUCCCGCCUGAGUCAGCAACCCUUCAUCUUAUCCUUGUAACGGCAUCUUUUGAAUAAUACGCCCACGUGGAUUAAUUUUGACCACAUCUUUAUAAUUAAUCACCGAUCCAAAGAAAAAGGCCUGAAAUUAUUAGUACCAGAUUUUUGGAAAAUCAAAGAUUUUCGUGCUAAGGGUGUAAAAAAAAGGAAACAAAGCAAAUCUUUUUAGGAAUAAAUGUGAUGUCAAUAAAGACACGAAACAAAUGAUCUCGGGCACGAAUCUCAUCCUUCAAAGUCAAGAGAGACCUUAAAGUGUUAAUGUGGUUUCCCGUUGAAUAACGAUCAAACACUUAUUAAGAAGUGUUGAAAGGCUUCUUUUAAUUAGGCUUCUUAAGGUGGCUUUAGCUUUGGUUCAACAAUCCUAAUCUUGAAAUAAGAUAGAAAGUGAACAAAGUACUUGUGAGACCGGUGUAGUCUGUGGAACAGGUAGGCAUGUAAUAAUUUUAAAGUAGCUGGUAAAUAGAAAAUCUCAAAAAAAAUAAAACUGGAUCCCAAGGGAAGAAACGUUAUGGUGUUUAACAAUUUCAUAGGAAUCACUCAAAAAGAAAAAAAACUUGAGAUUUCAUGAGGAUACGUCUGUCAAUUCAUUAGUGAAAACUUGAGCAAAUUGAUUGUUCACUGUCAAUUCAGAUUUAGUAUUGAAUUUUGGGUUUCACUCAGCCCGUAGUGGCACGAAACUAAGAUCAUAAACACAGUUUUUGAGUAACCAUAAACCUCAGUGGUAAUUUCUGAGAGUCUCAAGGGUUACAUUGAUGAAACGGAUUUAAUGGAGAAAAGUAAUGGAGAUGGUGUAAGAAAGAAAAGUACCUCUGCUAUAAAAGUAGGACCAAGCAGAAAACUCUUAUCUCAUGUGAGAAGAGAGUUCGGUAGCUCUUGAUUAGAAUAAAUGUGAUAGCCUAAUUGGGAAGACAAGGUUUGUGUAUACCAAGUCAUUAAGGCUGUUAUUCAGAAUCUGAUGAGGCUUUGGGUACAUAAAGCAGCAUGCUUCUAGGGACACUUAACUAAUCCAUCAAACAUAUCCCCAUAAACAAACGAACACACAUAUAAAAAUUAAAGACAAAAGGAAAAGAAAGAACAAAAUAUUUUUGGAGUUUUGAUAUAUAAAAAAAUAAGACUAAGAAAGAAAGAAAAAAACUGUGGAAAAGAAAAGAAAAAAAAACAAAAAAAA